RNAcentral lists this ribosomal RNA (405 nucleotides) under uncultured bacterium. RNAcentral describes it as "partial 16S ribosomal RNA". It matches the Rfam family "Bacterial small subunit ribosomal RNA", at positions 29 to 525 of the family's 1533-position model. The record is from RNAcentral.
AUUGAACGCUGGCGGCAGGCCUAACACAUGCAAGUCGAGCGAGCGGCGGACGGGUGAGUAAUGUCUGGGAAACUGCCUGAUGGCGGGGGAUAACUACUGGAAACGGUAGCUCAUACCGCAUCCCAUCAGAUGUGCCCCGAUGGGAUUAGCUAGUAGGGGGGGUAACGGCUCACCUAGGCGACGAUCCCUAGCUGGUCUGAGAGGAUGACCAGCAGCACUGGAACGGAGACAGGGGCCAGAGUCCUACGGGAGGCAGAAGGGGGGAAUAUUGACAAAUGGGCGCAAGCUUGAUGCAGCCAUGCCGCGUGUGUGAAGAAGGCUUUCGGGUUGUAAAGCACUUUCAGAGGGGAGGCGUUACCCGCAGAAGAAGCACCGGCUAACUCCGUGCCAGCGGCCGCGGUAAUA